AGACGAAUGGUGCAAGCGUUGUUCGGAAUCACUGGGCAUAAAGGGCACGCAGGCGGUUAUGUCAGUCAGAUGUGAAAGCCCCGGGCUUAACCUGGGAACUGCAUUUGAUACUGCAUAGCUAGAGUUUGGUAGAGGGGAGUGGAAUUCCCGGUGUAGCGGUGAAAUGCGUAGAGAUCGGGAGGAACACCAGUGGCGAAGGCGGCUCUCUGGACCAAAACUGACGCUGAGGUACGAAAGCGUGGGUAGCAAACAGGAUUAGAAACCCCGGUAGUCC
Molecule: ribosomal RNA, 274 nt
Filed under: uncultured bacterium
Lineage: Bacteria
Description: partial 16S ribosomal RNA
Rfam family: Bacterial small subunit ribosomal RNA
Source: RNAcentral